AUAUACUAAUUAAUUUGAAUUGAUUCAUAUGCAACUGAGAGGUCAUCCAUUUUAAAACUACUCUAGUUCUGACAUGCUUAACCCUUUUAGUCGCUUAGUUUUAGUUGCUGCUCAAAAAUUCAUAGCUGGAUUAAGAAACUCAUAAGCAUCAGAUAAUGUAAGAAUUGUCUUGCUAAUCUCAAUCGACCUUGUAUAUAGUCAUGCUCCACCCACAAUGGUCGUCAGACAAGGAGCCACACUCUUCCCGCUAUAUAAUUCUGGCUGAGCGGAGACUCAUUUCACACUUUCUGUCAGUGAUUGAUAUUAAUACCAAUUGCAUGUGACGCCUUGCUUGCUAGGGAGUCAUCCAUCCUACUGUAGUUCUAACAUGUUUAACUUUCUUAAUUUCUUGACUCAAGCCACUGCCAAACAUAUUAUAGCUGAGUUAAUAAACUCACAAAUUAACACCCGAUCAUGAUGUGAAACUCGUCUCACUAUCUUCAACCGACCUUUUGGGAAUUAUGUACCAAACAUUCGUACUUUAUAUGUUAAUUU
RNAcentral lists this long non-coding RNA (534 nucleotides) under Ananas comosus (pineapple). RNAcentral's name for it is "long non-coding RNA (ACOM_LNC027088)". Lineage: Eukaryota; Viridiplantae; Streptophyta; Magnoliopsida; Poales; Bromeliaceae. The record is from RNAcentral.